Molecule: ribosomal RNA, 591 nt
Filed under: uncultured bacterium
Lineage: Bacteria
Description: bacterial SSU rRNA
Rfam family: Bacterial small subunit ribosomal RNA
Source: RNAcentral
ACUCCUACGGGAGGCAGCAGUAGGGAAUCUUCCGCAAUGGACGAAAGUCUGACGGAGCAACGCCGCGUGAACGAUGAAGGUCUUCGGAUCGUAAAGUUCUGUUGUCAGGGAAGAACAAGUGCCGUGCGAAUAGAGCGGCACCUUGACGGUACCUGACGAGGAAGCCCCGGCUAACUACGUGCCAGCAGCCGCGGUAAUACGUAGGGGGCAAGCGUUGUCCGGAAUUAUUGGGCGUAAAGCGCGCGCAGGCGGUUUCUUAAGUCUGAUGUGAAAGCCCACGGCUCAACCGUGGAGGGUCAUUGGAAACUGGGGAACUUGAGUACAGAAGAGGAGAGUGGAAUUCCACGUGUAGCGGUGAAAUGCGUAGAUAUGUGGAGGAACACCAGUGGCGAAGGCGACUCUCUGGUCUGUAACUGACGCUGAGGCGCGAAAGCGUGGGGAGCAAACAGGAUUAGAUACCCUGGUAGUCCACGCCGUAAACGAUGAGUGCUAGGUGUUAGGGGGCUUCCACCCCUUAGUGCUGAAGUUAACGCAUUAAGCACUCCGCCUGGGGAGUACGGCCGCAAGGCUGAAACUCAAAGGAAUUGACGG